UACGUAGGGCGCAAGCGUUGUCCGGAAUUAUUGGGCGUAAAGAGCUCGUAGGCGGCUUGUCACGUCGGGUGUGAAAGACCGGGGCUUAACCCCGGUUCUGCAUUCGAUACGGGCUAGCUAGAGUGUGGUAGGGGAGAUCGGAAUUCCUGGUGUAGCGGUGAAAUGCGCAGAUAUCAGGAGGAACACCGGUGGCGAAGGCGGAUCUCUGGGCCAUUACUGACGCUGAGGAGCGAAAGCGUGGGAAGCGAACAGG
Molecule: ribosomal RNA, 253 nt
Filed under: uncultured bacterium
Lineage: Bacteria
Description: partial 16S ribosomal RNA
Rfam family: Bacterial small subunit ribosomal RNA
Source: RNAcentral